UUUGAUCCUGGCUCAGGAUGAACGCUGGCGGUAUGCUUAACACAUGCAAGUCGAACGGGAUGCUUAGGCAUCUAGUGGCGGACGGGUGAGUAACGCGUGAGAAUCUGGCUCCAGGUCGGGGAUAACAGUUGGAAACGACUGCUAAUACCGGAUGUGCCGAGAGGUGAAAGAUUUAUUGCCUGGAGAUGAGCUCGCGUCUGAUUAGCUAGUUGGUGGUGUAAGGGACCACCAAGGCGUCGAUCAGUAGCUGGUCUGAGAGGAUGAUCAGCCACACUGGGACUGAGACACGGCCCAGACUCCUACGGGAGGCAGCAGUGGGGAAUUUUCCGCAAUGGGCGAAAGCCUGACGGAGCAAUACCGCGUGAGGGAGGAAGGCUCUUGGGUCGUAAACCUCUUUUCUCAAGGAAGAAGAAAGUGACGGUACUUGAGGAAUAAGCAUCGGCUAACUCCGUGCCAGCAGCCGCGGUAAUACGGAGGAUGCAAGCGUUAUCCGGAAUGAUUGGGCGUAAAGGGUCUGCAGGUGGAACUGAAAGUCUGCUGUUAAAGAGUUUGGCUUAACCAAAUAAAAGCGGUGGAAACUACAGAACUAGAGUGUGGUAGGGGCAAAAGGAAUUCCUGGUGUAGCGGUGAAAUGCGUAGAUAUCAGGAAGAACACCGGUGGCGAAAGCGUUUUGCUAGACCGUAACUGACACUGAGGGACGAAAGCUAGGGGAGCGAAUGGGAUUAGAUACCCCAGUAGUCCUAGCCGUAAACGAUGGAUACUAGGCGUGGCUUGUAUCGACCCGAGCCGUGCCGGAGCUAACGCGUUAAGUAUCCCGCCUGGGGAGUACGCACGCAAGUGUGAAACUCAAAGGAAUUGACGGGGGCCCGCACAAGCGGUGGAGUAUGUGGUUUAAUUCGAUGCAACGCGAGGAACCUUACCAAGACUUGACAUCCUGCGAAUCCUGGUGAAAGCUGGGAGUGCCUUCGGGAGCGCAGAGACAGGUGGUGCAUGGCUGUCGUCAGCUCGUGUCGUGAGAUGUUGGGUUAAGUCCCGCAACGAGCGCAACCCUCGUUUUUAGUUGCCAGCAUUAAGUUGGGCACUCUAGAGAGACUGCCGGUGACAAACCGGAGGAAGGUGAGGAUGACGUCAAGUCAGCAUGCCCCUUACGUCUUGGGCUACACACGUACUACAAUGCUACGGACAGAGGGCAGCGAGCCAGGGAUGGCAAGCGAAUCCAGAAACCGUAGCUCAGUUCAGAUCGAAGGCUGCAACUCGCCCUCGUGAAGGAGGAAUCGCUAGUAAUUGCAGGUCAGCAUACUGCAGUGAAUUCGUUCCCGGGCCUUGUACACACCGCCCGUCACACCAUGGAAGUUGGUCACGCCCGAAGUCAUUACCCCAACCGAAAGGAGGGGGAUGCCUAAGGUAGGACU
This 1413-nucleotide ribosomal RNA is filed under the name Cylindrospermopsis raciborskii CHAB480. RNAcentral's name for it is "bacterial SSU rRNA". It matches the Rfam family "Bacterial small subunit ribosomal RNA". Lineage: Bacteria; Bacillati; Cyanobacteriota; Cyanophyceae; Nostocales; Aphanizomenonaceae. The record is from RNAcentral.